CCAGAAUUCCCCGCAAACCCUCCUUUCCCCGUCCGCGACACGAGACGCGAGGGAGCGACCAUUCUCUCUUCUCCGACGGCGACGGUGCCUGCCUCCUCCUCACUCCGCCCACCGCCCCCGCCCCAGCAGCCGCGCCGUCCGCCGCUGGUUCUUCCUCGCCGCCUGGACCUGUUCGUCGAAGCCGUACCAGCCGAGCCGGUCACUCCUCCUCCGACCCCGACGCCGGCUCAUCCCCUGCCGCCGCCGUCGACGCCGCCUCAUCCCCUGCCGCCGCCGUAGACGCCGCCUCAGCUCCUGGUGCCUCUGACCCACAGGCCCUCCCGGCAACCUGCCCUUAUUUACGUUUCUUGUCAGAAAGACAGCGGGUAAAAAUCCAUGAUAUACGUUGUGAUGGCACCAAAUCCAUCAGGUCAGUCCCAAGAAAAGAAGAAAACAAAAGAGAAACAGCCUAUGAAGAUACACUAUGACCUGUUAAACCUAAGGAUGAACCAGGCUGAACAGAAAGUGACUUGUGAGCUUAUGAUGCCAGCAAAGUUACCAGAUUUCUACAACCCUCCCCUUGGUGCUGAUCCGGUUGUCCUCCAUGUGAAACAUCCAACCCAAGACAAGCAUUCUGUUACUUUAAUGAGGGAUUGCUUACAUAAGAACCUUCUGCAUGCAAAACUUGUCAGUGACAAAGAUCCAUAUCUGCUAGUCUUUACUGACCGAUACACAGGAAUGUUAACAGCAUACUUCAAGUCCAUCGAACCAUUUGUAGCUAAGUAUGCCGAACCGGGCCGGAUACCAUUCCCGUCCGCUAAGCUUCAAAGUGUUGUGAGUCAAAUGCUUGAUGGUUUGAAGGGACUGUGGUUCUAUGACAAGUACCAUGGAAACUUGAGAUUGGACAACACAUACUACUAUAAGACAAAAGAUGGUGAUGUCGUUGUGAAGUUGGCAAGUUUUAAAUGUCAAGGUACUAAACUUAAAGACCCUGCAAAAAAGGGAAAAGAUAAAACAGAGACUGUUGCACAUUACCAGGCGGAAGAUUUACAAGCAAUGGGCACUGCGCUGGAAGAAAUAUCUCAAAUGGCUAGUGAUUUGAGUGAGAAAGGCUAUCUGUUGGAUUGCAGACAGAUUGACCACCUUGCCGAAAGACUAAAAGAAGUGUCCAAGGGAGAGAUGGGAAGUGCAUAGAUGAACCCGGAAUCCAACUGCUUCAGUGGAUGCGACUGUCAUUUCAAGGAAUCAUGGUGUUUUUCUGGUACUAUACUCUUUACUGCCACGACCUCCAAGACCCGUUAACCAGGGGUGAUGUUAAGAUGGUAAAGCAUGCAAGACCAGAGAUGCCAGUGACAGUUAGCAGUUCGAGGACCGUGGCUGCCGUAACAAGGCUUAAAGUAACUGCAGUAUGAUGAGUCGUUUUGCUAGUUUCGACUCCUCCAGGACUUACUGAUGAGUGAUGGCUCUAUUGAUUCCUCCAGGACAGCUUCUUCUGCUAGUUUAUGUGAAUCUAAAGAUUACAUGUUGCCACAGAAUCAUUGGUGAAGUUGUUACCAUCUGUAGGUGUUGUUAUGUGGCACCGUUGAGACGUGUUGUUGUUCAUGGUCA
This is an RNA transcript of Triticum dicoccoides, 1587 nucleotides long. RefSeq lists it as uncharacterized. The record is from RefSeq and is a predicted model, not a curated record. NCBI's taxonomy places the organism in Eukaryota, Viridiplantae, Streptophyta, Magnoliopsida, Poales, Poaceae. The transcript has 8 exons.